RNAcentral lists this unclassified non-coding RNA (1573 nucleotides) under Apis florea (little honeybee). Its description in RNAcentral is "uncharacterized LOC100871173, transcript variant X2". Lineage: Eukaryota; Metazoa; Arthropoda; Insecta; Hymenoptera; Apidae. The record is from RNAcentral.
GAGUUUUGUAAUACAAAUAUAAUUUUUUAUUGAUGAAUAAUUUUUAGUAAAUGAAAAAUUUGUAAAUGAAAUUACCUCAUACCUUAUACCAAUAGAUGAUUAAAUCCUUGCAUUUUGAUGCUCAAAACAUGGCAAAGAUGGUCUGGAAGAUGUCUUAGACCUCAAAGAUUAAAAAUAUUAUUCAGUGAUAAAAGAACAUUUUGAUAUCAAUCUCUAAAUCUCAUGAUACAUGUUAUGAGAAUAACUACAACAAUUAUUGUACAUGAAAGCAACAGAAGACAUUAUCAAAUAUAAAAUGUAUUAGAUGCCAUUAUUUACUAUUUUCAUAUAACUUUUCUCUAUAAUUUUUGCUACCAUCCGGUAAUUAAAUUACACAAUAACUUCUACUGAAUCGUAUAAAUGGACUAGGGAAUCUUUCAUCCAAGAAAACUUAACACAUUGCGUGCAAUAUACAUAUAAUGGAAUUGUGCUUAAAUGCUUAAUGAGGAAAUCGAUUUUCACUGGCCCCUAUUCCAUAAACACUUCCGUAAGACAGUUUGUUAUUUUCACUUGGUAUCUUCUAACUUGGAAGAAACAUUCGAUGAAAUGGGUAUGCUCAAUAUAGACAUUCGUCAAGUACUUUAUAUUCUGGAACUGACAGGAACGUUUACGUGCACUUGGCCAAUUAAUCCGAAUGACAGUAAAAAAUAUAUCAUUAUUCGUAACAUCUUGUGGACAUUCACGAUACUGAACGUGAUUUUUUUAAUAAUAUCGUUGAUGCUUGCUAUUUUUCACUUUCGAAGUGAUAUACCUAAAUCGAUGAAAACUGCCUCCGAGAUGACUGCUUUGCUCGAAGUCGUUUUGGAUUUGGUUCUCUGCAAAUGGAACAACACUGAAUUGCAGGUUUUGAUAGAAGAAGUCAGGUCGUUCUUGGAGAUAGCCAACGAAUACGAAAUUAAAAUACUACAGGGAUAUAUAAAUCGUUACAAAAAAUUCUUCUCGACUGUUUCGAUGGGAUACAUCUUACCUGCGAGCUCGUUCAUUUUGAUGCCUUUGUUCUCAGCCCAAGAAUUACCCGCAGAGGGAUGGCUUCCAUUCUCCAUCGAACCACUUGGAAUAUACUGCGUAGUCUAUGUCAAUCAUAUUUAUUGCAUUUUACAAACGUCAUUUUGCAUUUUUGUAGAUUUCACGAUUGUCAUCCUCUUUAGUUUUCCCGCUGCCAAAUUAGACGUAUUACGGUCAAAAUUGCGGCAUGUGAAUAAUUACGACAUGUUGGUCAGCUGUAUCAAGGAACAUCAAAAAAUAUUAGGAAUCAAUCAUUGGGCGUGGUCACUCAGUUCCUUCCUCUGGUAUUGUCAGGCAUGUUGCACUUGUUCGUCAUCGCCUGGCCGGCAGACGAUUUAAGAGAAAGUGUAAGCCAGCCACUAAUAAAAAUUCGAUAGAACGUCAUCUCAUCUGAGUAUACAAUUCGCAGAAUCGAUCAAUGAUAUUCAAUGGUUAGGCCAACCAAGAAAAAUGAAAAGUUGCGUGAUUUUCAUGAUGAUAAGAAGUCAAAAAACAUUUCUCAUUCGAAUGAGUAGUUUGUUGCCACCUC